This 561-nucleotide long non-coding RNA is filed under the name Medicago truncatula (barrel medic). Its description in RNAcentral is "long non-coding RNA (MTRU_LNC001936)". Lineage: Eukaryota; Viridiplantae; Streptophyta; Magnoliopsida; Fabales; Fabaceae. The record is from RNAcentral.
GUGGGGUGUACACAUAUGGUGGGGGAGGUGGCGACUUGUAGAUAUAUGGAGGAGGUGGUGAUGGUGGAGGAGGAGAUGGGUAAACAUAAGGUGGAGGAGGUGGUGACUUAUACACAUAUGGAGGAGGUGGGGGUGAUUUGUAGAUAUAUGGAGGAGGAGGCGAUGGUGGAGGAGGAGAUGGGUAAACAUAAGGUGGAGGAGGUGGUGAUUUGUAUACGUAUGGAGGAGGUGGUGAUGGUGGAGGAGGAGACGGGUAAACGUAAGGUGGAGGAGGUGGUGACUUGUACACAUAUGGAGGAGGUGGGGGUGACUUGUACACAUAUGGAGGAGGUGGUGAUGGUGGAGGAGGAGACGGGUAAACAUAAGGUGGAGGAGGUGGUGACUUGUACACGUAUGGAGGAGGUGGGGGUGACUUGUACACAUAUGGAGGAGGUGGCGGUGACUUGUAUACAUACGGAGGAGGUGGUGAUGGUGGAGGAGGAGACGGGUAAACGUAAGGUGGAGGAGGUGGUGACUUGUACACGUAUGGAGGAGGUGGGGGUGACUUGUAUACAUAUGGAG